GCUGUACCCCCACCUGGAAUGCCUGUUCCUCCUUACCGUUCGUUCAAGGUCCAGUUGCACUGCUGCCUCCUCCAGGAAGCCUUCCCUGAUGCGCCUUUGUCCCUCAACCUGUAGUCAGCUCUCAGUCCCCUGAUCCUGUGAUCUACAGGUGGUAAGCUCUGCAGAGGCAGGGGCUGCUCUGGUUAGGUCAUUGUGGGCCCCACCUUGUUGACCUUGUCUUCCCUGGCAGGCACACGGGACAGGGUGAUCACAGCCGUGAGCCAAGGGCUGGGCCAGAAAUGUCCCCACCAGACCACUUCCACCUGGAGAGAUGUGAGCUGUGAGCCGGGGAGCCUGGUCUGACCCUAGAGGCAGUCCUGGGGUCGGGGGCCUCCGCUGUCCGUGAACCCACCUGGAGCUCCAGCAUCUUCCUCCCCAGACUGUCUCUCCCAGGACUCCCAGAAAGUCUCGCUCUUGGAGAAGGCCAACGGCACCUGUGCCCCAGUGGACAGAAGGAUGGAGGCAUGGCCCUGCCUGACCAGCGCCCUCUCCUGCCUCCCCCAGGAAGAAGGGGAGGUCAUGCACACCCCACCCUUUAAAAGACCCUGAGUGGGAAUGAGGGGAGGAUCCAUCACAAGGGACAGGCCCGCCCCGUGGACUGGGGAGGACCAUGCGGGCCUGCAGAGAACUCUGACUGGCAAUGAACUCAGAGCCAAGGACCCCCAGCCCCCUCCCCGCCAAGGGGCUCAGGAAUUCUGCUCUUCCUUGCAAACACUUGGCAUGUCUCUGGGCUAUUUGAAUAAUAAAUACACAUUAUAAAAAUCUAAA
Molecule: long non-coding RNA, 807 nt
Organism: Neogale vison (American mink)
Lineage: Eukaryota; Metazoa; Chordata; Mammalia; Carnivora; Mustelidae
Exons: 2
Source: RefSeq, a predicted model, not a curated record